This is an RNA transcript of Camelus dromedarius (Arabian camel), 5375 nucleotides long. It is a transcript of the gene named nidogen 2, with no coding region annotated. The record is from RefSeq and is a predicted model, not a curated record. Lineage: Eukaryota; Metazoa; Chordata; Mammalia; Artiodactyla; Camelidae. The transcript is spliced from 22 exons.
CGCGGCGCGGCUAGUGGGCUGGCUGGCUGGCCAGGCCGGGACGCGCUCUGCCGCGGGGCAGCCCAGGGCGGAACGAGCAUGCGGGGGGACUGGGUGGCCGGGCGGCGGGCGCUGCGGCCGUCGCCGCUGCUGUUGCUGCUGUUGCUGCCGUUGCUGCUGCUGUCCCGGGCCGUGGCGCUGCAUCCAGGAGAGCUCUUCCCCUACGGGCUGUCGCGGGGAGACCAGCUUCUGCAGGAAGGCGACGACGAAAGCUCAACCGCGGUGAAGCUGGCGCUUCCCCUGCGCUUCUAUGAUGCCCAAUUUAGCGACCUCUAUGUGGGCACCAACGGCAUCAUCUCCACCCAGGACUUCCCCAGGGAAACCCAGUAUGUGGAUGAUGAUUUCCCCACAGACUUUCCAGCCAUAGCCCCCUUUCUGGCCGACAUCGACACGAGUCACGGCAGGGGCCGGGUCCUGUACCGAGAAGACACCUCCCCGGCGGUGCUGGACCUGGCCGCCCGCUACGUGCGCGCAGGCUUCCCGCGCGCCGCCGCGCACUUCGCCCCCACCCACGCCUUCCUGGCCACCUGGGAGCAGGUGGGCGCCUACGAGGAGGCCACGCGCAGGGCCCCGCCCUCGGGAGAGCUGAAUACCUUCCAGGCAGUUUUGGCAUCUGAUGAGUCUGAUAGCUAUGCCCUCUUCCUUUAUCCUGCCAAUGGCCUUCAGUUCUUUGGAACCCGCCCCAAAGAAUCUUACAAUGUCCAGCUCGAGCUUCCAGCCCGCGUGGGCUUCUGCAGAGGGGAGGUCGAUGACCUAAAGAGAGAGGGACCAUAUUUCAGCUUGACUAGCACUGAACAGUCUGUGAAAAAUCUCUACCAACACAGCAACCUGGGGAUUCCUGGAGUGUGGGCUUUUCACAUUGGCAGUACCUCCGGGUUGGACAAUGUCAGGCCAGCGACAGUUGGAGGAGACCUUUCCAAAACCCACCCAUCGGCUCCCCUGGGACAUUCCUUCAGCCACGCUGCAGCCCUGGAAGGUGACUACACUGAGGACAAUUUGGAUUAUUAUGAUGAGAAUGAAGAGGAAGUCGAAUACCCGCCUGGUGAACCAGAGGAGGCAUCAAAUGGCCACAGCACAAUGGAUGUGUCCUUCCACUCGAAAGCUGAUUCGAGGCAGUUGGGAGGUGGGAUCUCUCCUCCAGUUUCCGACCUGGCCUCCUCUUUGCCACAUCCAACAUCUAGUGAUGGGUCUAACACUGAAUCUGCCACCUUGGACCCUCAAACCAAAGAGAGGAGACACCAUGGGGACAUAGAUGCCCCAGAUUUAAAAGGCCGAGCUGAGUCUUCUGAACAGCCAGUGACCCCUGCUCCACCAGAGACAGGAGAUUCACUGGGUCCUUCCCGGGAAGGCUCCCCUCCCUACCCAGCCGGAGGGGCACUGCCCACAGAGAGGCAAGUUCCUCCAGCCCAUCCUGGAAGAGAGGCGGUUCUUCCAAAUUACCCUGGGCUGGAUCACGCUCCGCCACCCGGUCGGGGGAGGCAGGUGGUCGGGGUAGAGGACGACAUCAGUUCCAACACUGAGGUCUUCACGUACAAUGCUGCCCACAAGGAGACCUGUGAACACAACCACGAGCGCUGCUCCCGGCACGCCUUCUGCACCGACUACGCCACCGGCUUCUGCUGCCACUGCCAGUCCAGGUUUUACGGGAAUGGGAAGCACUGUCUGCCGGAAGGGGCACCUCAUCGAGUCAAUGGGAAAGUGAGUGGGCAACUUCGCGUGGGCCACAUGCCCGUGCACUUCACCGACGUGGACCUGCACGCUUACAUCGUGGGCAAUGACGGCAGAGCCUACACGGCCAUCAGCCACAUCCCACAGCCGGCCGCCCAGGCCCUUCUCCCACUCACGCCAAUCGGAGGCCUGUUUGGCUGGCUUUUUGCUUUAGAAAAACCAGGCUGGGAGAAUGGCUUCAGCCUCACAGGUGCUACCUUUAUCCAUGACAUGGAAGUUACCUUCUACCCAGGAGAGGAGAGGGUUCGAAUCACUCAAACUGCCGAGGGACUGGACCCAGAGAACUAUCUGAGCAUUAAGACCAACAUUCAAGGCCAGGUGCCCUACAUCCCAGCGAAUUUCACAGCCCACAUUGCUCCCUACAGGGAGCUCUACCACUACUCAGACUCAGUUGUGACCUCCACAAGCUCCAGAGACUACUCUCUCACGUUUGGUACCAUCAACCAAACGCAGUCCUACCGUGUUCACCAGAACAUCACGUACCAAACAUGCAGGCAUGCCCCCAGACGCUGGGCCGUCCCCACCACCCAGCAGCUGAACGUGGACCGGGUCUUUGCCUUGUACACGGAUGAAGAAAAAGUGCUCAGAUUCGCUGUGACCAAUCAGAUUGGCCCCGUUGAAGGGGACUCAGAGCCCGCCCCAGUGAAUCCUUGCUAUGACGGGAGCCACACAUGUGCCACCACAGCUCGGUGCCAUCCGGCGACAGGUGUAGACUACACCUGUGAGUGUGCACCUGGGUACCAGGGAGAUGGACGGAGUUGCAUGGAUGUGAAUGAAUGUGCAGCCGGCUUCCAUCGCUGCGGCCCCAACUCCGUGUGUGUCAACUUGCUCGGGAGCUACAGGUGCGAGUGCCGGAGCGGUUACGAGUUCGCAGACGACCGGCACACCUGCGUCUUGAUCGCCCCACCUCCCAACCCCUGUGAGGAUGGCAGUCAUAACUGUGCUCCUGCCGGCCGGGCCCGGUGCAUUCAUCACGGAGGCGGCUCGUUCAGCUGCGCCUGCCUGCCCGGGUACACCGGCGAUGGGCACCAGUGCACCGAUGUUGACGAAUGCUCGGAGAACAGAUGUCACCCCUCGGCGACCUGCUCCAACACCCCUGGCUCCUUCUCCUGCCGCUGCCAACCUGGAUAUCAUGGGGAUGGAUUUCAGUGCACACCAGACCCCACCUCAGGACUGAAGCCCUGUGAGCACCAGCAGCGUGAUGCCCAGGCUCAGCGCACCCAUCCCGGGGCUCUGCUCCACGUCCCACAAUGUGAUGAGCAAGGUCAUUUCCUGCCACUGCAGUGUCAUGGCAGCACGGGCUUCUGCUGGUGCGUGGACCCGGAUGGUCGUGAAAUCCCUGGCACCCGGACUCCUCCCAGCUCCGUCCCACCUCGCUGUGGACCACCAGAGCCCACCCAGAGGCCCCGGACCAUCUGUGAGCGCUGGAGGGAAAGCCUGCUGGAGCACUACGGCGGCACACCCAGGGAUGACCAGUACGUGCCCCAGUGUGAUGACCUGGGCCACUUCACCCCGCUGCAGUGCCAUGGGAAGAGUGACUUCUGCUGGUGCGUGGACAAAGACGGCAGAGAGGUGCAGGGCACCCGCUCCCAGCCUGGCACCAUCCCCGCAUGUAUCCCCACGGUCGCUCCGCCCACAGUCCGGCCCACACCCCGGCCUGACGUUGCCCCUCCACCUGUGGGCACCUUCCUGCUCUACGCCCAGGGCCAGCAGAUCGGCCACUUGCCCCUCAAUGGUACCAGGCUUCAGAAGGACACAGCCAAGACCCUGCUGUCACUGCAUGGCUCCAUCGUUGUGGGAAUUGACUACGACUGCCGGGAGAGGAUGGUGUACUGGACGGACGUUGCUGGACGGACAAUUAGCCGUGCCAGUUUGGAACCAGGAGCGGAACCCGAGACCAUCAUUAACUCAGGUCUGAUGAGCCCCGAAGGACUUGCCAUCGACCACUUCCGUAGAACGAUGUAUUGGACGGACAGCGGCCUGGAUAAGAUAGAGAGGGCCAAGCUGGACGGCUCUGAGCGCAGGGCCCUUUUCCACACGGACCUGGUGAACCCCCGCGCCAUCGCUGUGGAUCCAAUCCGAGGCAACUUGUACUGGACAGACUGGAACCGAGAAGCUCCUAAAAUUGAAAUGUCGUCUUUAGACGGAGAAAACAGAAGAAUUCUAGUGAAUAAAGACAUUGGACUGCCCAAUGGUUUAACCUUUGACCCCUUCUCCAAACUGCUCUGCUGGGCAGAUGCAGGAACUAAAAAACUGGAGUGCACACUACCUGACGGAACUGGACGGCGUGUCAUUCAAAACAACCUCAACUAUCCCUUCAGCAUCGUCAGCUACGCAGACCACUUCUACCACACCGACUGGAGAAGGGAUGGUGUUAUAUCAGUAAAUAGAGACAGUGGCCAGUUUAUGGAUGAGUAUCUCCCAGAGCAGCGAUCUCAUCUCUACGGGAUAACUGCAGUCUACCCCUACUGCCCAACAGGAAGAAAGUAAAUAUGGCCUUGUAAAGGACUUGGCGUUCACAAUCGGGAUCUGGACCCUAAAGAACAUUUACUGCGAACAAAGGUGAAGAAAGUGAAAAAGGAAUUGGCCAUGAGAAGUUCCUGGAUAUACAAUAUGAACAUUUUCAGUGCAAAAAGACUAUAUUUUGUGAAAAAUUUAUACCUCAAUCUUUACUACUGUAUUUUUAAAAACAAGUUAUUUCAAGUUUUAAAAAGGAGCAAAGAGAUUUGGCUAUGACCUCAUCUGCCCUGCCUUCCAAACCAAAGGUAUAGUUUUGCUGAAUGACAAAUGGAUGAUUUUAUUAUGCCAGAACAAUUUACUGUCUGUUCUAUAGUGUGGGUGAAAUAAGCUGAUCUUUAAUCCAAUUUCCAGUGGCCUGAUUCAUACAUAAUUAAUAAGCCAAUAACAACUUUUAAAAGAAACUGAAUAUCUUUCAAAAGGGACUACACUGCCCUGGCGUUAAUAACCCUUUAACACUGUUGGGCCAGAGGACAGAAGACAUUGGGGAGCUAGAGAGCAGGGGGAGGCACAAUAGAAGAAACAUUCACUGAACAUAUAGCAGGUGGGGACACUAUCAGACGGCUGCAGCUGCUAACCCCUGAGGACUCGGCACCACCCCCGAGUCAAUGAGACUUUAGGGGCAUUUGGAUUCCUGGUACAGUUCAUCUAACCCAGAAUUAUUAGCAACAUACUUUCUCAUGGUUUACGCUAAAAAACAGUAAAAAGAGAAUAAAUUUCUCUGAAGAAACAAAAGGGUGAAGGUAAAGACUUAGGUAGAAAAAAAAGAGAAGGUGCGUCCUAUUUUCUAGCAAUUAGUCAACAUAACCCAGUAAAUUUCACAAGGGUAAGUUCUUUUAAAUAAACCUUAACUAGGCACAUGCAGUGGUUUGUUCUGGCAGACUGUGGAUGUACUGUUGGUAGCUUCUCUAAGGUAAUGAAGUGAGAUAAACAUGAAGUUCAUUUUUCACUGAAAAAUGACUGGAUACAAUUUGCCUAAGAUUCAAAUUCAAUCCCACUGAAGUCAGUUAUCCUUUCUCUGGGCAGUUCUAAUACAGAAUAGUUGUCUUAAUAUUCUCACGCAAAGUUUAACCUCAUGACAACCAAAAGAA